UCGAACGGAAACGAUGCUAGCUUGCUAGCAGGCGUCGAGUGGCGGANGNUGAGUAAUGUAUAGGGAUCUGCCUAGUAGUGGGGGACAACAUGUGGAAACGCAUGCUAAUACCGCAUACGCUCUACGGAGGAAAGUGGGGGACCUUUCGGGGCCUCAUGCUACUAGAUGAACCUAUAUUGGAUUAGCUUGUUGGUAAGGUAAUGGCUUACCAAGGCGACGAUCCAUAGCUGGUUUGAGAGAAUGAUCAGCCACACUGGGACUGAGACACGGCCCAGACUCCUACGGGAGGCAGCAGUGGGGAAUAUUGCACAAUGGACGAAAGUCUGAUGCAGCAAUGCCGCGUGUGUGAAGAAGGCCUUAGGGUUGUAAAGCACUUUCAGACGUGAGGAAAAGUAAUAAUUUAAUAAAUUAUUACCUUGACGUUAACGUCAGAAGAAGGACCGGCUAACUCCGUGCCAGCAGCCGCGGUAAUACGGAGGGUCCAAGCGUUAAUCGGAAUUACUGGGCGUAAAGCGCGCGUAGGCGGAUAUUUAAGUCAGAUGUGAAAUCCCUGGGCUCAACCUAGGAACUGCAUUUGAUACUGGAUAUCUAGAGUAUGGUAGAGGUGAGUGGAAUUUCAGGUGUAGCGGUGAAAUGCGUAGAGAUCUGAAGGAACAUCAGUGGCGAAGGCGACUCACUGGGCCAUUACUGACGCUGAGGUGCGAAAGCGUGGGUAGCAAACAGGAUUAGAUACCCUGGUAGUCCACGCCCUAAACGAUGUCAACUAGGUGUAUGGGAGUUUAACUCCUGUGUAUC
RNAcentral lists this ribosomal RNA (795 nucleotides) under uncultured Gammaproteobacteria bacterium. Its description in RNAcentral is "bacterial SSU rRNA". It matches the Rfam family "Bacterial small subunit ribosomal RNA", at positions 62 to 847 of the family's 1533-position model. The record is from RNAcentral. Lineage: Bacteria; Pseudomonadati; Pseudomonadota; Gammaproteobacteria.